Molecule: transfer RNA, 63 nt
Filed under: Lychas mucronatus (Chinese swimming scorpion)
Lineage: Eukaryota; Metazoa; Arthropoda; Arachnida; Scorpiones; Buthidae
Description: tRNA-Tyr
Source: RNAcentral
GGUUUGAGUAACCAAAUUAACGGUUUAAAAUUGUAAAUUUUAAUAUGAGACUAUCCCAAACCG